GACGAACGCUGGCGGCGCGCCUAACACAUGCAAGUCGAACGGAGUUAUUUUGGCAGAAGUUUUCGGAUGGACGCCGGAAUAACUUAGUGGCGAACGGGUGAGUAACACGUGAGGAACCUGCCCUUGAGUGGGGGACAACAGUUGGAAACGACUGCUAAUACCGCAUAAGCCCACAGAGCCGCAUGGCUCAGGGGGAAAAGGAGCAAUUCGCUUAAGGAUGGACUCGCGUCCAAUUAGGUAGAUGGUGAGGUAACGGCCCACCAUGCCGACGAUUGGUAGCCGGACUGAGAGGUUGAACGGCCACAUUGGGACUGAGACACGGCCCAGACUCCUACGGGAGGCAGCAGUGGGGAAUAUUGCACAAUGGGGGAAACCCUGAUGCAGCGACGCCGCGUGAAGGAAGAAAGGCCUUCGGGUUGUAAACUUCUUUAAGUGGGGUAAGAUAGUGACGGUACCGACAGAAUAAGCCACGGCUAACUACGUGCCAGCAGCCGCGGU
RNAcentral lists this ribosomal RNA (498 nucleotides) under uncultured bacterium. RNAcentral's name for it is "bacterial SSU rRNA". It matches the Rfam family "Bacterial small subunit ribosomal RNA", at positions 28 to 521 of the family's 1533-position model. The record is from RNAcentral.